GCUCCGGGUGGCCCUAUCGCGGCUGCCAAAGUGCAGAUGAGGAAAGUCCGGACAACGCAGAGCGCCACGCCACCUAACGGGUGGGCUCCGGCAUAGCCGGGGACAGAUAGUGCCACAGAAAGCUAUACCGCCCCCUCAGGGGGGUAAGGGUGAAAACGUGCGGUAAGAGCGCACGCCCGGGCCUGGCAACAGGUUUGGGGGGUAAACCUCGUGGGUUGAAAUGCCAUGUACAUCCUGGCCGGGCAAGCCCGGCUGAGUUGCUCGCUCAGUUCGCUCCGGCGGCGCCGGGAGGGGUAGGCAGAUAGAUCCACUCUGUGAAGGGUGGGCUAGAUAAAUGAUAGGGGCUGCCGGUUGGUCCGGCAGCACAGAAUCCGGCUUAUAAGCCCGGAGCGGUU
Molecule: RNase P RNA, 395 nt
Filed under: Phaeodactylibacter luteus
Lineage: Bacteria; Pseudomonadati; Bacteroidota; Saprospiria; Saprospirales; Haliscomenobacteraceae
Description: Bacterial RNase P class A
Rfam family: Bacterial RNase P class A
About the family: Ribonuclease P (RNase P) is a ubiquitous endoribonuclease, found in archaea, bacteria and eukarya as well as chloroplasts and mitochondria.
Source: Rfam by way of RNAcentral